Molecule: unclassified non-coding RNA, 209 nt
Filed under: uncultured fungus
Lineage: Eukaryota; Fungi
Description: sequence contains ITS1
Source: RNAcentral
GUAGAGUUUUAACCAACUGUUCUAAUAAUUUCCACUGGAAAUUCGAACAGUAAUUUAUUGAUUUUUAUUUAUCAGAAAUAAAAAGUACCUAAAACACAUCUUUGCAGCACAACUUGUUCAAAGAACACGUCUUGCACAAAAUCUGUGUUUUCUGCACUCGCAAAUGGGAAAAACAUUUAAUGAUCCUUCCGCAGGUUCACCUACGGAAA